This 1826-nucleotide long non-coding RNA is filed under the name Marmota monax (woodchuck). The record is from RNAcentral. Lineage: Eukaryota; Metazoa; Chordata; Mammalia; Rodentia; Sciuridae.
UUUAGAGAGAGAGCCAUUGUUCUCAUGACUCAGGGGCCUCCGUGCCAGGCCAGCAGCCAGUCUGGCCCUGGCAGCUCCAGCCGCCCACCUGUGCUGGCCAGAGGCUGAAGGUGCUUGAGCACUGUCAGUCAUCCUGGGUGAGCAGCAAGUGGACACCCACUGGAAGAUCGGCCUCCACCCCCCGCACUUCUGAUGGGAAAACCAGCUCCAGGGAAGCAUCUGGCCUCAGCCCUGGGCCUCGGUGCCCAGAGCACAUGACUCACUUCCUUCCUGGGACUCACAGCCCUGGGGCAGUGCUGGCUCCUGCAGCACCCGCCAUCGUGUGUCAGGAGGUGUGUGCUCAGGGGCUGCUGGGCAGCUCUGACCGCUCACAGUCUCCCCAUGGCUCCUAAGGGGACCCAGCAGUGACCCAGCAGAUUCUGCUGUGCAGAGAACACUUGGAGACAGCAGUGGAGUAAAGGAAAGAAAAAGAAUUCACCUGGCGACAGGUAGCAGGUACAUUUCUCCCUGGCCCUUCAUGCACCAGCGUUGGAUGUUUUUGAGUAGCUGACGUAGUGACUACCUUAGCAUGGACAGACGGCCCUGGACAGAUGGCUCCUGCUUCUCUGAACAUACUUCAUUCACCUGCCUUGGUCCAUCACCUGAGACAGGUCCAAAUCAAAGCUUCCAGAAGCCGAUAAACCCAGGCUCCCACAUACUAAGGGAAAGGCAGAGAUGGAGUUUCCACCAGAAGUCUGACGGCAGAGCACAAGGUCUCCUCAUCUAGGUAAAAGUACACGCUUUCUACCUAACCUCUCACAGAGGAUCCCCUCUCGGACGAGAAGUUGUGGGUAAACACCACCUUUAACACCUUUCCACUCUUCACUGAGUGACAGGACCACCUAGACCCAGCCCGCUCUCCAGUGCAGGACAUCUUAGUUAUUUCUAAUUUCUCACCAUUAUAAACGUGCCACAGCGAAAUGUGCUGGUUACAAAUGUGAUCUUGGUUGGUUCCCUGGGGCAAUCCCUUAGAGGUGGAAUUGUUAGGUCAGAGGUCCCACUCUGCCAAGCCCUGUGGGAGCGCCUGAUUUCACCUGGCUGAGCAGCCCAGCUGCAAACCAGCCCCUCGGGGCAGAGAGGAAAAAGGCACUUCAGAGGACCCACCUGGCCUGGCAUGGAGAACUGUUACCGUGUCCAACACACAGGUGGCCAGGUAUGGUGUUGCCACCUACUAUACCUCUGUCCCAUUUGUGGGUGAGUCUCAGAGAGGCAAUGUCGCUUACCCAAGGUCACACAGUCAGAGCCAGAACCCACAAAACAGCAUCUCACACAGUGUUGGCAAAGCACCUGACACUGAUUCUUUGGAGGUUCCAGUUGACUUGGGUCCAUGAGUGUCAGCAGACUUUCUGCAGCAUCUUGGGGGGAGAUUUUCACUCCCUGCCAGAUUAUCACCACCUGCCUGGACGGAUGCAGUAGUCUCUCCAACAACUCUCCUGUGUCCACCCUUGCUCUGUUCUCCAAUGAGCAAGUGGAGUGAUCUUGAAGUCCCCCUGCGUGCUGCUCAACUGCCCUACCCUCUGGGGACUUCCCUGUCUGGGUGUGAACUAACUCAUGCCAAAAUGGUUGCAGCCCAGAAGGGUGGGAUUCUGCACCCCCACCAUGCCAGGCACAGGGUAGGUGGGACUAGUUCACCGUUCAUAGAACGAAAACCAGACACCUUGGUCUGCUUUCUGUGUCCCCUGCCUGGUCCCCUCCUUACUUGCCCUGCUACCCACUGAGCUCUAGCCCUUGGCCUCUCUGUCACUCAGAAUAUUCAACAUAGACUAUUCUUCAAUCUAGAAUAUUCU